CCCGAAACCGAGUGACCUAUCCAUGGCCAGGAUGAAGCGGAAGUAAAAUUCCGUGGAGGUCCGAACCACGUUGGUGUUGAAAAACCAUGGGAUGAGCGGUGGAUAGCGGAGAAAUUCCAAUCGAACUCGGAGAUAGCUGGUUCUCCUCGAAAUAGCUUUAGGGCUAGCGUCGGGUAAUUGAGUAGUGGAGGUAGAGCACUGAAUGGGCUAGGGGCUGACAACAGUUACUGAACCCUAUCAAACUCCGAAUGCCAUAUACUUGUACCCCGGCAGUCAGACUACGAAUGAUAAGAUCCGUGGUCAAAAGGGAAACAGCCCAGACCAUCAGCUAAGGUCCCAAAGUGUAAGUUAAGUGGGAAAGGAUGUGGGAUUUCUAAGACAACUAGGAUGUUGGCUUAGAAGCAGCCACUCAUUUAAAGAGUGCGUAAUAGCUCACUAGUCGAGAGAUCCUGCGCCGAAGAUGUAACGGGGCUCAAACUUACCACCGAAGCUAUGGAUGUGUACUUUGUACACGUGGUAGAGGAGCUUUCUGUACAGGUUGAAGUCAUACCGUAAGGAGUGGUGGACAGUACAGAAGUGAGAAUGCUGGCAUAAGUAGCGAAAAACAAGUGAGAAUCUUGUUGACCGAAUAUCUAAGGUUUCCUGGGGAAGGCUCGUCCUCCCAGGGUUAGUCGGGACCUAAGCCGAGGCCGA
Molecule: ribosomal RNA, 693 nt
Filed under: Clostridium botulinum D/C
Lineage: Bacteria; Bacillati; Bacillota; Clostridia; Eubacteriales; Clostridiaceae
Description: partial 23S ribosomal RNA
Rfam family: Bacterial large subunit ribosomal RNA
Source: RNAcentral